UAAGAGGUCCCGCCUGCCCAGUGACAUUAGUUCAACGGCCGCGGUAUUUUAACCGUGCGAAGGUAGCGCAAUCACUUGUCUGUUAAAUGUAGACCUGUAUGAAUGGUAGAACGAGGGCUUAACUGUCUCCUUUCUCGAGUCAAUGAAAUUGAUCUCCCCGUGCAGAAGCGGGGAUGAAAACAUAAGACGAGAAGACCCUUUGGAGCUUUAGACAAUGUACAGCCCAUGUUAAAGACCCUAAAAUAACAGACUAAACCUAUUGGAGCCCUGUACUAAUGUCUUCGGUUGGGGCGACCAAGGAGAAGCAAAUAACCUCCAUGUGGAAUGAUAACACAGUUAUUUUAUAUAAGAGCCACAGCUCUAAUCAACAGAAUUUUUGACCUGAAAGAUCCGGCAUAAUGCCGAUUGACGGACCAAGUUACCCUAGGGAUAACAGCGCAAUCCUCUUUUAGAGCCCAUAUCGACAAGGGGGUUUACGACCUCGAUGUUGGAUCAGGACAUCCUAAUGGCGCAGCCGUUAUUAAGGGUUCGUUUGUUCAACG
This 542-nucleotide ribosomal RNA is filed under the name Ablabys taenianotus (cockatoo waspfish). Its description in RNAcentral is "partial 16S large subunit ribosomal RNA". It matches the Rfam family "Bacterial large subunit ribosomal RNA", at positions 1846 to 2586 of the family's 2925-position model. Lineage: Eukaryota; Metazoa; Chordata; Actinopteri; Perciformes; Tetrarogidae. The record is from RNAcentral.